UACAGAGGGUGCAAGCGUUAAUCGGAAUUACUGGGCGUAAAGCGUGCGUAGACGGUUGCGUAAGUCAGAUGUGAAAGCCCCGGGCUCAACCUGGGAAUUGCAUUUGAGACUGCGUAGCUAGGGUGCGGAAGAGGGAAGCGGAAUUUCCGGUGUAGCGGUGAAAUGCGUAGAUAUCGGAAGGAACACCAGUGGCGAAAGCGGCUUCCUGGUCCAGCACCGACGUUCAGGCACGAAAGCGUGGGGGGCAAACAGG
This 253-nucleotide ribosomal RNA is filed under the name uncultured bacterium. RNAcentral describes it as "partial 16S ribosomal RNA". It matches the Rfam family "Bacterial small subunit ribosomal RNA", at positions 524 to 776 of the family's 1533-position model. The record is from RNAcentral.